ACGGAGGGUGCAAGCGUUAUUCGGAAUUACUGGGCGUAAAGGGCGUGCAGGCGGGAGAGCAAGUCUGAUGUGAAAGCCCGGGGCUUAACCCCGGAAGGGCAUUGGAAACUGCUUUUCUUGAGUUCUGGAGAGGAAGGGAGAAUUCCCGGUGUACAGCGGUAAGGAGAGCAGAUGGGGUGGAAACGAAGUAGCGAGGGCGGCAAUGAGGACAGGAAUUGUCGCUGAGACUCGCACGUGCGUAGAGGAGAGAU
Molecule: ribosomal RNA, 251 nt
Filed under: uncultured prokaryote
Description: partial 16S rRNA
Rfam family: Bacterial small subunit ribosomal RNA
Source: RNAcentral